This is a long non-coding RNA of Salvia miltiorrhiza (redroot sage), 2751 nucleotides long. RefSeq lists it as uncharacterized. Lineage: Eukaryota; Viridiplantae; Streptophyta; Magnoliopsida; Lamiales; Lamiaceae. The record is from RefSeq and is a predicted model, not a curated record. The transcript is spliced from 2 exons.
ACAAAGCUUAAUGAAGAAGCCUUUCUUUUCUACCUAUACAGUCGCCAUCUCUCACCCAUCAAUCUCUUUCUCUCCACACUCUCAAGAACUCACUUACCCACACACAGUGAAGACUACAAUCAAGCCCUAGCUCCUCUUGUUUCUGGCGAAAUAACGCCACUGCUCGAAGCUUGCUCGACGUGCCGCGACGUCUCAUCUCUCCCGACGAAGCGAAAGCUGCCGCUGCUCUGGUUCGAUGCCGCUGCGUCUUUCUUGGCCGGGAAUCGACGCGCCACCGUUGCUCCCUCCUCGGUUCUUCUAGGCUGAGCCCUAGCUGCACCUCCUCGUUAAUCGGCAUCGCCGUUUUCUGGAUUCCAACAGUGAAGGUUACGCCGCCGCUAUUCCUGGCAAUUCCCACCUUCUCGUCGCUCGGCGUCGAUCCACAGCUCACACCGAUGGAACAGGGACCGCUGCCUUUCCUUAAUUACCUAAAAGCUAAGCCCUUUUCCUCUUUCUCUUCUAUGGGGUAAAUUCGAAUGAUGUUGUGGUGUACUAGUUAACCCUAGUGGAGUUGUGGUUCUCCUUGCUUGUUCAUAAGUGAUAUGAAACAUAGGGUUGUCAAUUUCUUUAACAAAGUUUGCAUAUCCGAAUUUCCUAUAAAUGAAGCUGUGUACUUAAGAGUUUUGUAUAGAUAAUAUGGAUACAUUAAGUAUAUAUCCUCUGCAUUUCUAUGCGACUGGGCAUGCAUUAAGAAGUGUGGUAAUCAUAGUCUGUUGAUUUUAUAGGAAGUAAAUCGAUUAUGCUAUUUAUCUCUUUAUCCAGCAUUUCUAUAUAACUGAUCUUGUGUUCUGUUGGGUAUAUGAGGACGAUGUAUUUGGGUAUUUAUUCACAAGAAAUCAUGAUUUUCUAAUAGUUUAGAAUAAGUGAAUUUGGGCAUUCUUGAGGUAAGAUAGCUAAAUAUUUGAUGCUUAUGUAAUUGAACUCUUGGGAGCGUGGAAUGUGAUUAUAUGAUAGAAAUUGGGCGAUAUUGAGCAUGUUACUAUGUGUUGGGCCAAUUUUAGUUUAAGAAUAAGGGAAGUACUACUUUUAAUAUUGAUUGGAGAAGUUGUGGUGAUUGAUUGUGUUAUAAUUUGCUUGUUAUAUGUUGAUGUGGUAAACGUGAGUGAAGUUUUAAGUUAAAGCAUUCUAACAUGUUGCAAGAUGAUGUAAUUGGAUCUCCACUCUUUUAUGUGGCCAAAAUAUGAGAUGUAUGUUAAGUUGCAACAGAAAAUGUGUUGCUGUCAGGUUUAGCUGGACGAACCAGUGUUUUGUGAGGGGUUUUCGGGAGUGUUCCUGUGGUCCAAAUGAUUUAAAAUUUUUACUGUGAUAACUUCAUUAUGAGUAUUAGAUCUCUGCAAAAUUUCAGCUGAAUCCGAGAUCUCUAGAUAGGUCAAACAAUUUUCUUAAAAGUACUGCGCGAAGCAGCAAGGUUUUGUGGCAGAUUCUGCCUUUUGUGAGAUAAUUUCAUAUACACUUGAGAUAUUGUAUUUUUGUAACUUUCUAAUAAAUAUAAACUUUAAUAGCUUUCUAAAAUGGUAAAGCUCGUAUUUUUCCUUGAAGCGAUUGAUUUUAUAUGAUUUUUCAAAGUUAGGAUUCAAAUGUGUGUGUUUCUUAAACUUGUGAUUGGUAGUUAAUUGAGAUCCUAAACUACUAAACUCGAAUUGAGGUUUUAUUGUUCUAAUUACCUAUUGAGGAUUAUUGAUUACUAAAGCUUGUUGAUAUGAUAGUUGAUGGACAUAAUUAUACUUAUAUGAUUAAUUACUUCGGGAUUUUGUGUUUUACAUGUAUAGUUAGUUGUAAACUGAUCUCUAUGGAAUGGAUUUGUUUACUUCUAAACUUUCUCAAGUAGAGGAAUUCCUAUAAGAUAGAAUAAUAGUUUAUACUUUCUUAAAGUUCAUAGAGUUAGUUUACUGAUUAGUCUAGUUGAUGCAACCCUAGCUUUGCAAGAAAUUAGAAGUUUAAUUAGGUUGUUACUCCUAUUUCUUCUUAUCUAGUUAUCCAAUCUUAUUUUAGAAUCUUGCUAUUAUGAAGGUGACAGUGGAAACGUUAGAUAAGUGAGCAAGGAUUUCUACUUCAUUAAGCGUAUCAUGUGGGCUUUCUAAACUCAUAAUUUGAAGUGCGCACUAUUUAAUUAUGUUAUUAUAUGAAUGAAGUUAUAUUAAAGUUAUUGACUUGCCAAAUUAUUUUAUGAGCUUGUAUGUUACCAUCUACGAGAGAUAUACGAUAUCGGCCCUAUGCUGAAGUGAGAUGCCAGUAAGGGUUUGUGCACAUAGUUGUGAUCGUGAGUCAUCGAGCAGGUUGGCCGGUCACUGUGAUCGGGAGCCUUCGGGCCGAUCACUGUGUUUGAGAAGGAGGCCUACUUCUUAACACAAGGUUACACGAUGCGUAGUUAUGGUUAAGCUGUGAUGCUGAUGGAUGUCGGCAGAGCGAAACUUUGAAACAUAAGCACUAAAUUAGGCUCAGGAUUUCAUGUCUUCAUACAUGUAAUCCACUUAAGUUACUCCGCUGCAACGCUUAGUGCGUUUUACUUUAUUGAUGUGUUGCAAAGAUUUCAAACUAAUAACUUACAAAAUUAUGUCACUUGGUACUUAGACAACUUGUCGUUAUGUAUUGUGAGUUGUCUGCUUUUGAGUUUUAGAAAAGAUUGUUUAUGAUUACCAAAUAUUUUGGUAAAUUAUUGUUUAAGCCGGUUAGUAAUUUUUAUUGAGAUCUAUUUUCUAUUUCAUUUUCUUA